RNAcentral lists this ribosomal RNA (253 nucleotides) under uncultured bacterium. Its description in RNAcentral is "partial 16S ribosomal RNA". It matches the Rfam family "Bacterial small subunit ribosomal RNA", at positions 524 to 776 of the family's 1533-position model. The record is from RNAcentral.
GACAGAGGCCUCGAGCGUUAUGCGGAAUCACUGGGCUUAAAGCGUGUGUAGGCGGGCCCGUAAGUGUCUUGUGAAAUCCCACGGCUCAACCGUGGAACUGCUGGGCAUACUGCGGGUCUUGGGCCAACUAGGGGCAGCCGGAACAAGCGGUGGAGCGGUGAAAUGCGUAGAUAUCGCUUGGAACGCCGAAGGUGAAAACAGGCUGCUGGGGUUGCGCCGACGCUGAGACACGAAAGCCAGGGGAGCAAACGGG